RNAcentral lists this ribosomal RNA (253 nucleotides) under uncultured bacterium. RNAcentral's name for it is "partial 16S ribosomal RNA". It matches the Rfam family "Bacterial small subunit ribosomal RNA", at positions 524 to 776 of the family's 1533-position model. The record is from RNAcentral.
UACAGAGGUCCCAAGCGUUGUUCGGAUUCAUUGGGCGUAAAGGGUGCGUAGGCGGCGCGGUAAGUCGGGUGUGAAAUCUCGGAGCUUAACUCCGAAACUGCAUUCGAUACUGCCGUGCUUGAGGACUGGAGAGGAGACUGGAAUUUACGGUGUAGCGGUGAAAUGCGUAGAUAUCGUAAGGAAGACCAGUGGCGAAGGCGGAUCUCUGGACAGUUCCUGACGCUGAGGCACGAAGGCCAGGGGAGCAAACGGG